Molecule: ribosomal RNA, 497 nt
Filed under: uncultured bacterium
Lineage: Bacteria
Description: partial 16S ribosomal RNA
Rfam family: Bacterial small subunit ribosomal RNA
Source: RNAcentral
GAUGAACGCUGGCGGCGUGCCUAAUACAUGCAAGUCGAGCGAACAGACGAGAAGCUUGCUCCUCUGACGUUAGCGGCGGACGGGUGAGUAACACGUGGAUAACCUACCUAUAAGACUGGGAUAACUUCGGGAAACCGGAGCUAAUACCGGAUAAUAUAUUGAACCGCAUGGUUCAAUAGUGAAAGACGGUUUUGCUGUCACUUAUAGAUGGAUCCGCGCCGCAUUAGCUAGUUGGUAAGGUAACGGCUUACCAAGGCAACGAUGCGUAGCCGACCUGAGAGGGUGAUCGGCCACACUGGAACUGAGACACGGUCCAGACUCCUACGGGAGGCAGCAGUAGGGAAUCUUCCGCAAUGGGCGAAAGCCUGACAGAGCAACGCCGCGUGAGUGAUGAAGGUCUUCGGAUCGUAAAACUCUGUUAUUAGGGAAGAACAAAUGUGUAAGUAACUAUGCACGUCUUGACGGUACCUAAUCAGAAAGCCACGGCUAACUACGUG